Long non-coding RNA from Loxodonta africana (African savanna elephant), 128 nucleotides. It matches the Rfam family "GNAS antisense RNA 1 conserved region 5". The record is from Rfam. NCBI's taxonomy places the organism in Eukaryota, Metazoa, Chordata, Mammalia, Proboscidea, Elephantidae.
UGACCCCACGGCGCCGGGCGGCCUCGUGGCUUCUCAGUUCUGGCCGCCAUAUGCCCGCCCACCAACCUACGCCUUCCAGCCAUCCCAGCAGCACAACUUCUUUGGGCGUUCCAACGCGGCGCCCCCUA